AAUCCGGUGGCUUGAAUGGUUAGAGCGUCCGUCUCAGACAAGGGAGUUGGCGGGUUCGAUUCUCGGCCGAGUCA
Molecule: non-coding RNA, 74 nt
Organism: Potamilus streckersoni
Lineage: Eukaryota; Metazoa; Mollusca; Bivalvia; Unionida; Unionidae
Source: the annotation of a GenBank genome assembly